Molecule: long non-coding RNA, 1201 nt
Filed under: Macaca fascicularis (crab-eating macaque)
Lineage: Eukaryota; Metazoa; Chordata; Mammalia; Primates; Cercopithecidae
Description: lncRNA (ENSMFAG00000055055.1)
Source: RNAcentral
UUUUUUUUUUUUUUUUUUAAUUUCCCUAUUUUUUAUGUUCAUUCUUCUGCAUGAACUUUGUAUUAUUUUUAUCAAAUUCCAAAUUUAGACUACAUCAAACUUAUAGACUAAUUUAGGGACAAUCACUCUCUUUAUCAGGAUUGAAUUUUUUUUUUUUGAGAUGGACUCUGUCGACCAAGCUGGAGUGCAAUGGCACGAUCUCGGCUCACUGCAACUUCUGCCUCCCGUGUUCAAGCGAUUCUCCUGCCUCAGCCUCCCGAGUAGCUGGGAUUACAGAAGCCCACCACUAUGCCCAGCUAAUUUUUUGUGUUUUUAGUAGAGAUGGGAUUUCGCUAUGUUGGCCAUGCUGGUCUCUAACUCCUGACCUUGUGAUUCCCCUGCCUCAGCCUCCCAAUGUGCUGGGAUUACAGGUGUCAGCCACUGCACCCGGCCUUCGCAUUACAUUUUAUCACUGGUCAUUUGGAAAUAAAAGAGCUAGUGACAUUGGAUAUUUAUUUUUUACCUGGGUAUAGAGUGCUCCCACCAGACACAGGCAAUUCCCCCCUUAUUUACUCAUUGCCUUAGGUCAAGUUCCCUGGGAAACAGACUUGAAGUUGGAGGUCUAUGUGCAGAAGUUUUAUGGGACUGUUCCCUCAAGAACACAUCCAUGAGUGGCUGGGUGCUGUGCUUAUGCCUGUAAUCCCAGCACUUUGGGAGGCUGAGGUGGGCGGAUCACCUGAGCUCAGGAGUGUGAGACUAGCCCGGGCAACAUGGGAAAACCCCAUCUCUACAAAAAACAUAAAAUUAGCCAGGCAUGGUGGCAUGCUCUGUUGACCCAGCUACUCAGAAGGCUGAGGUGGGAGGAUUGCUUGAGCCUAGGAGGCGGAGGUUGCAGUAAGCUGAGAUUGUGCCACUGCACUCCAGCCUGGGAGAAGAUAGACCUUGUCAGAAAAAAAAAAAGAAAAAAAAGGAAAGAAAACAUCCAUGAGGGGUGAGGGAGGGAAGCAGGAUUGGGAGAGGGAGAAAUGAACCGCAGCAAGGUUGCAACAGGGACCUCAGCUGCUCCCACAGGGAGCUCCAGAGCUGAGAUGAUCCUUCUGAGUUGUCCUGAAUUGGAGUAAGGAGGCAAGGCCUUUGUAUCCCCACAUUAACCCCUCACUGGAUGUGGGCUACCCUGGAGGAGGGGAUGUAAACUUGAGCCAGGCAGUUCCCUUUAGCAGAG